This 582-nucleotide ribosomal RNA is filed under the name Triticum aestivum (bread wheat). RNAcentral describes it as "partial small subunit ribosomal RNA". The record is from RNAcentral. Lineage: Eukaryota; Viridiplantae; Streptophyta; Magnoliopsida; Poales; Poaceae.
AUGGAGGCCAAUCUGAAGAACCAGGCGACCGUGGCGAUGCUUCGCAUUGUCUCCCUCGCAAGCUCCCCUGUCGACCUCAUCAAGGAUGCUCUCCGCAACGUCCUAUAUAUGGACUCCGUCAUUGCGUUUCAGGAGCUGCCGCACGAUGCCCUGGACCUACUUGCCUCAACCCACUCCUUGACCUUGGCGUACCGCGAGGUAUCUGAGCUGGUGAUGUCCGUGGAGGCAGCCAUCAUCAUCGUCGACCGCUGGCUCGAGCCCAGGGCGUCCGGGCUGCAGGGGCUGCCGGCGGCUUCGUGGAGAGUCCGGGCGGAUGAGCUCGUCGGGGCUGUGGCCCAUGCUAGCUGUAUGCUAGUGUCAGCUGGCACGUAUUGCUACCGUGCCUCGGCUGUCCUGAAAGUGUCCAGCGAGCGUUGGCGCACCUUCCCUACCGACCUCCGAAAGACCUGGAUGAAGGAUGCGAGGUCGUCGCUCACCUCUGUACGUGAUCGCCUGAUUGACGCCCUUUGCGCCCUCUCCCAGAUGUCUGCUGCUGCCACCGAAGCCCGGGAUGCCGCCAAUAUACUCAUUGAUUUUCUGUAG